Molecule: long non-coding RNA, 559 nt
Filed under: Rattus norvegicus (Norway rat)
Lineage: Eukaryota; Metazoa; Chordata; Mammalia; Rodentia; Muridae
Description: long non-coding RNA NONRATT029335
Source: RNAcentral
GUGCGCUAGCGGUCCGCUCCUACACACUCACCACUCAACCAACUUUGGGAGACGGUGAGCCGACCUUUCUAAGUGACCCGUGAUCCGCAAUCCGGAGACUUACAGCACUCGGUAGGACUUUCCUCCGGUGUGUCUGCUCCUCCCCAGCCGAGGGCCCUUCCCUGCUUUCGCACCCACCCGAGGUGAAGCUCCGACCCAGCGUGUGCACGCACUUCCCUCUCCACACCACCCGGAAAACCACCGGGCUCGCCCCGGCCGCGGACGGCGGCCCAGCGCCCGGCCUGCUCACCCGCGUGGGACAUGGGCUCGGUGGCGUUCCCGUAGCGCUCCUGGUUGUAGACCACCACGGCCGAGGCGUUCCUCCGCGCCGCCGCCAGCACCUUGUCCUUGAAGGUGCAGCCGCCUCGCGCCACCAGCGCCACCCAGGGCGCGUUGCCGAGGGCGCCGGGCGCCACGAAGCGCGUGUCGGGCGCGCAGCCCUCCGCAUCCGCGGGAGCGCGCGGGACGCCCACCAGGCCCUGCCUCUCCUCCCUGAGCGAGCUGUCGCCGAAGCGGCCGC